CGAGCAUCUUUGUUGUUCCAAGCUACAAAGAGCCAACGGUGGAUGCCUUGGCGCCUGAAGCCGAAGAAGGACGUUGGAGGUUGCGAUAAGCCACGGGGAGUUACCUCCCGAGCAGUGAUCCGUGGAUGUCCGAAUGGGGAAACCCACCACGGCGAGAACCGUGGUACUCCCGCCUGAACACAUAGGGCGGGUAGAGGGAACCAGGGGAAUUGAAACAUCUCAGUACCCUGAGGAGAGGAAAGCAAUAGCGACUCCCUGAGUAGCGGCGAGCGAAACGGGAAGAGCCUAAACCGAGCUGGUGGUAAAGCCUGGUGGCGUUGCCAGCCCGGGGUCGUGGGACCGGGAAGAGGGGGCACCAGACCCUUCACGAAGUUACAAACUUGCUGCCUAGCAGAAGCGUUUUGGAAAGUCGCUCCGCAGAGGGUAAGAGGCCCGUAUGCGAAAGGUUGCAAGCUUCGUCCCGGCACCCGAGUAGCGCCGGAUCCGUGAAAGUCGGCGUGAAUCUGCGAAGACCACUUCGUAAGGCUAAGUACUCACAGGCGACCGAUAGUGCACUAGUACCGUGAGGGAAAGGUGAAAAGUACCCCGGGAGGGGAGUGAAAUAGUACCUGAAACCGUUGGUUUACAAACAGUCAAAGCGUCGUUGCCGCCUUCGGGCGGUAGCCGCGAUGGCGUGCCUUUUGAAGAAUGAGCCAGCGAGUUACCGUACGUGGCGAGGUUAACCCGUGAGGGGGAGCCGGAGCGAAAGCGAGUCUGAACAGGGCGUUCAGUCGCGUGCGGUAGACCCGAAGCCGAGUGAUCUAGCCAUGGGCAGGCUGAGGCGGGGGUAAGACCCCGUGGAGGGCCGAACCCACCCUGGUUGAAAACAGGGGGGAUGACCUGUGGUUAGGGGUGAAAGGCCAAGCAAACUCGGUGAUAGCUGGUUCUCCCCGAAAUGCAUUUAGGUGCAGCGUCGGGCGUUCAGCAUCGGAGGUAGAGCACUGGAUGGGCUAGGGGCCCCACAAGGUUACUGACCCCAACCAAACUCCGAAUGCCGAUGCUCUAGAGCCCGGCAGUGAGACCACGGGGGAUGAGCUUCGUUGGUCGAAAGGGAAACAGCCCAGACCGCCGGCUAAGGCCCCAAAUUCGGAACUAAGUGGUAAACGAUGUGGGAUUGCACAGACAGCCAGGAGGUUGGCUUAGAAGCAGCCACCCUUGAAAGAGUGCGUAAUAGCUCACUGGUCGAGUGAUCCUGCGCGGACAAUGUAACGGGGCUCAAGUUCCGAGCCGAAGCCGCGGACUUCCGUAAGGGAGUGGUAGGGGAGCGUCGCGUGUGCAGCGAAGCGGGGGUGUGAACCGUCGUGGAGCGCACGCGAGUGAGAAUGCUGGCAUGAGUAGCGAGAGAGGGGUGAGAAACCCCUCCGCCGUAAGCCCAAGGGUUCCUGGGGAAGGCUAAUCCUCCCAGGGUAAGUCGGGAGCUAAGGCGAGGCCGAGAGGCGUAGUCGAUGCACAACCGGUUGAUAUUCCGGUACCACCGUGUCCGCGACCAUCCCAAGUCGAGGUACUAAGGGGCUGCCUUCGGGCGAACCGACAGACUCGAGGCGGGCAGCAGAGGCGUGACGCAGGAGGGUAGGUGAACCCCACAGUUGGUGUUGGGGGUAAGCGUGUAGGGAGAGGACCAGGCAAAUCCGGGCCUCACACAUCCUGAGACGCGAUGCCGAGCCGUUUUAGGCGAAGUCACUGAUCCCAUGCUGCCGAGAAAAGCGUCGCUGUCAGCUGUCACGGUGCCCGUACCCCAAACCAACUCAGGUGGGCGGGUAGAGAAUACCAAGGCGAUCGAGAGAACUGUGGUUAAGGAACUCGGCAAAAUACCUCCGUAACUUCGGGAGAAGGAGGGCCCCAGUAGGGUGACGGACUUCGCGUCCCGAGCUCGAGGGGGCCGCAGAGACCAGGGGAAAGCGACUGUUUACUAAAAACACAGCAGCGUGCGAAGUCCGAAGACGAUGUAUACGCUGUGACGCCUGCCCGGUGCCGGAAGGUU
RNAcentral lists this ribosomal RNA (2020 nucleotides) under Acidiferrimicrobium australe. RNAcentral's name for it is "Acidimicrobiaceae bacterium USS-CCA1 partial 23S ribosomal RNA". It matches the Rfam family "Bacterial large subunit ribosomal RNA", at positions 1 to 1878 of the family's 2925-position model. Lineage: Bacteria; Bacillati; Actinomycetota; Acidimicrobiia; Acidimicrobiales; Acidimicrobiaceae. The record is from RNAcentral.